This 649-nucleotide ribosomal RNA is filed under the name uncultured archaeon. RNAcentral's name for it is "bacterial SSU rRNA". It matches the Rfam family "Archaeal small subunit ribosomal RNA", at positions 156 to 803 of the family's 1478-position model. The record is from RNAcentral.
AUAGGCCUGAGGUACUGGAAGGUCCUCAGGCCGAAAGGGGCUCUGCCCGCCCGAGGAUGGGCCGGCGGCCGAUUAGGUAGUUGGUGGGGUAACGGCCCACCAAGCCGAAGAUCGGUACGGGCCAUGAGAGUGGGAGCCCGGAGAUGGACACUGAGACACGGGUCCAGGCCCUACGGGGCGCAGCAGGCGCGAAACCUCCGCAAUGCGGGCAACCGCGACGGGGGGACCCCCAGUGCCGUGGCAACGCCACGGCUUUUCCGGAGUGUAAAAAGCUCCGGGAAUAAGGGCUGGGCAAGGCCGGUGGCAGCCGCCGCGGUAAUACCGGCGGCCCGAGUGGUGGCCGCUAUUAUUGGGCCUAAAGCGUCCGUAGCCGGGCCCGUAAGUCCCUGGCGAAAUCCCACGGCUCAACCGUGGGGCUUGCUGGGGAUACUGCGGGCCUUGGGACCGGGAGAGGCCGGGGGUACCCCUGGGGUAGGGGUGAAAUCCUAUAAUCCCAGGGGGACCGCCAGUGGCGAAGGCGCCCGGCUGGAACGGGUCCGACGGUGAGGGACGAAGGCCAGGGGAGCGAACCGGAUUAGAUACCCGGGUAGUCCUGGCUGUAAAGGAUGCGGGCUAGGUGUCGGGCGAGCUUCGAGCUCGCCCGGUGCCG